UACGUAGGGUGCGAGCGUUGUCCGGAAUUAUUGGGCGUAAAGAGCUUGUAGGCGGUUUUGUCGCGUCUGCUGUGAAAAUCCGGGGCUCAACCCCGGACUUGCAGUGGGUACGGGCAGACUGGAGUGUGGUAGGGGAGACUGGAAUUCCUGGUGUAGCGGUGAAAUGCGCAGAUAUCAGGAGGAACACCGGUGGCGAAGGCGGGUCUCUGGGCCGAAACUGACGCUGAGGAGCGAAAGCGUGGGGAGCAAACAGG
RNAcentral lists this ribosomal RNA (254 nucleotides) under uncultured bacterium. RNAcentral's name for it is "partial 16S ribosomal RNA". It matches the Rfam family "Bacterial small subunit ribosomal RNA", at positions 524 to 776 of the family's 1533-position model. The record is from RNAcentral.